This 253-nucleotide ribosomal RNA is filed under the name uncultured bacterium. RNAcentral describes it as "partial 16S ribosomal RNA". It matches the Rfam family "Bacterial small subunit ribosomal RNA", at positions 524 to 776 of the family's 1533-position model. The record is from RNAcentral.
UACGAAGGGGGCUAGCGUUGUUCGGAUUUACUGGGCGUAAAGCGCACGUAGGCGGAUUGGUCAGUUAGAGGUGAAAUCCCAGAGCUCAACUCUGGAACUGCCUUUAAUACUGCCAGUCUAGAGUCCGGAAGAGGUAAGUGGAACUCCUAGUGUAGAGGUGGAAUUCGUAGAUAUUAGGAAGAACACCAGUGGCGAAGGCGGCUUACUGGUCCGGUACUGACGCUGAGGUGCGAAAGCGUGGGGAGCAAACAGG